GACGAACGCUGGCGGCGUGCUUAACACAUGCAAGUCGAACGGAAAGGCCCUGCUUUUGUGGGGUGCUCGAGUGGCGAACAGGUGAGUAACACGUGAGUAACCUGCCCUUGACUUUGUGAUAACUUCAGGAAACUGGGGCGAAUACCGGAUAGGAGCUCUUGCUGCAUGGUGGGGGUUGGAAAGUUUCGGUGGUUGGGGAUGGACUCGCGGCUUAUCGGCUUGUUGGUGGGGUAGUGGCUUACCAAGGCUUUGACGGGUAGCCGGCCUGAGAGGGUGACCGGCCACAUUGGGACUGAGAUACGGCCCAGACUCCUACGGGAGGCAGCAGUGGGGAAUAUUGCACAAUGGGCGGAAGCCUGAUGCAGCAACGCCGCGUGCGGGAUGACGGCCUUCGGGUUGUAAACCGCUUUCGCCUGUGACGAAGCGUGAGUGACGGUAAUGGGUAAAGAAGCACCGGCUAACUACGUG
RNAcentral lists this ribosomal RNA (468 nucleotides) under uncultured bacterium. Its description in RNAcentral is "partial 16S ribosomal RNA". It matches the Rfam family "Bacterial small subunit ribosomal RNA", at positions 28 to 507 of the family's 1533-position model. The record is from RNAcentral.